Molecule: long non-coding RNA, 1272 nt
Organism: Hemiscyllium ocellatum (epaulette shark)
Lineage: Eukaryota; Metazoa; Chordata; Chondrichthyes; Orectolobiformes; Hemiscylliidae
Exons: 5
Source: RefSeq, a predicted model, not a curated record
GUGGACAUGAUUUGAAGAAAAAUGCUGCAAUGGGUCAUUUUCUUUCAGCAUUUCUGGCAUCAUCUGGCAAGUGAGAAACAGAGAUUGGUCAACACCUGCCUGGAUUGCAGGAGGAGCGGGUAAAGAAACAGCUGCAAAUGUGUUGCUGGUCAAAGCACAGCAGGCCAGGCAGCAUCUCAGGAAUACAGAAUUCGACGUUUCGAGCAUAAGCCCUUCAUCAGGAUAAGAGAGAGAGCCAAGCAGGCUAAGAUAAAAGUUCACGGCAGCAGUAUCAACUUCUCAAGGGCAACUAGGGACGGACAAUAAAGACACCCUCAUCCCAUGAGCGAAUUUUAAAAAUCGCACCGCUGACAACUCAGCACAUCUUCAACAUAACACUAACACGAAAUUGUCAAGCUAAACCGAGACUUUGCUGCAUUAGUUGCUGCCCCUGUUGUUGUUGCUGCAGCUGGAUUUACUGGUGCUGGAAUAGCAGCUGGAUCCAUCGGAGCACAAAUGAUGUCUGCGGCAGCAGUGGCUAAUGGAGGAGGGGUAGCAGCAGGCGGCAUUGUAGCAACUCUCCAGUCUAUUGGAGCUGCUGGAAUCUCGACUGCUGGUGCUGCUGCCGUAGGAAGUGUCGGUGCCUUGGGUGGUUAUGCAGCAAAAGCAGUUUUUCAGGAUUCUGAAGAUGAGCCCUAAAGCCCAUGAGCUGUUUUAAAGUAGAUACUUAGAAGGAAUUAGUGAGGAUUUAUCUAUUAGAUGAAGGACUGAAAUAAUCAUAUCCUAUAAGAAGGUAAUAAGCAAUGAAAUAUUUUCUGCUGACUAUAAAUGAAUAACUUUGAAAUAUUUUUAAUUUUAGUAUGGAUGUUUCUAUUCUCUUUCUGCUAUUUUGAUGCCCUGUUAGCUAUUUUCUCAAUUAGAAGUGGAUUAAAAAACCUUCAGAUGUUGUCGUUCUAUAGCUGGUCAUAGAGUAAAUGCAAACAUUCAGAUUGAUGCCUACAUUAAAUAGAAAUGACAAGUGUCUGUGAUGCUGACGGCGUCAUGCUGAAUGUAAUACCAGUGCCACUGCAGUUCACUGCAAGAAUGAAAUUUGUCUGUCUGGAGUAAGGCUUAUGCCCGAAACGUCGAUUCUCCUGCUCCUCGGAUGCUGCCUGGCCUGCUGUGAUUUUCCAGCACCACAUUUUUCAACUCUGACUCCAGCAUCUGCAGUCCUCACUUUCUCCUAGGGCAUUUUAAGGUUAUCUUCAAAAUGUUACAAGAUCCAUUUGUCGCAAUAUCUCCUCUUAUGUAUCA